AACGAACGCUGGCGGCAUGCCUAACACAUGCAAGUCGAACGAGACCUUCGGGUCUAGUGGCGCACGGGUGCGUAACGCGUGGGAACCUGCCCUUAGGUUCGGAAUAACUCCCCGAAAGGGGUGCUAAUACCGGAUAAUUUCUUCGGACCAAAGAUUUAUCGCCUUUGGAUGGGCCCGCGUUGGAUUAGCUAGUUGGUAGGGUAAAAGCCUACCAAGGCGACGAUCCAUAGCUGGUCUGAGAGGAUGAUCAGCCACACUGGGACUGAGACACGGCCCAGACUCCUACGGGAGGCAGCAGUGGGGAAUAUUGGACAAUGGGCGGAAGCCUGAUCCAGCAAUGCCGCGUGAGUGAUGAAGGCCGUAGGGUUGUAAAGCUCUUUUACCCGGGAUGAUAAUGACAGUACCGGGAGAAUAAGCUCCGGCUAACUCCGUG
This 433-nucleotide ribosomal RNA is filed under the name uncultured bacterium. RNAcentral's name for it is "partial 16S ribosomal RNA". It matches the Rfam family "Bacterial small subunit ribosomal RNA", at positions 29 to 507 of the family's 1533-position model. The record is from RNAcentral.